This 67-nucleotide transfer RNA is filed under the name Blaberus discoidalis (tropical cockroach). RNAcentral's name for it is "tRNA-Arg". RNAcentral also lists the same sequence under 1 other name. Lineage: Eukaryota; Metazoa; Arthropoda; Insecta; Blattodea; Blaberidae. The record is from RNAcentral.
AAGUAUGAAGCAAUUUAAUGCAAUUAGUUUCGACCUAAUAAUAUAGGUAUUUAAUUACCCUUACUUU